RNAcentral lists this ribosomal RNA (397 nucleotides) under uncultured bacterium. RNAcentral describes it as "partial 16S ribosomal RNA". It matches the Rfam family "Bacterial small subunit ribosomal RNA", at positions 523 to 918 of the family's 1533-position model. The record is from RNAcentral.
AUACGUAGGGGGCAAGCGUUAUCCGGAUUUACUGGGUGUAAAGGGAGCGUAGACGGAAGGCCAAGUCUGAUGUGAAAGCCCGCGGCUCAACUGCGGGACUGCAUUGGAAACUGGUCAUCUGGAGUGCAGGAGGGGUAAGCGGAAUUCCUAGUGUAGCGGUGAAAUGCGUAGAUAUAUGGAGGAACACCAGUGGCGAAGGCGACUCUCUGGUCUGUAACUGACGCUGAGGCGCGAAAGCGUGGGGAGCGAACAGGAUUAGAUACCCUGGUAGUCCACGCGGUAAACGAUGAAUGCUAGGUGUUGCGGGUAUCGACCCCUGCAGUGCCGGAGUAAACACAAUAAGUAUUCCACCUGGGGAGUACGGCCGCAAGGUUGAAACUCAAAUGAAUUGACGGGG